ACGCCGUAAACGAUGAAUGCUAGGUGUUGGGAGUCAAAUNUCGGUGCCGAAGUUAACACAUUAAGCAUUCCGCCUGGGGAGUACGGUGGCAACACUGAAACUCAAAGGAAUUGACGGGGACCCGCACAAGCAGCGGAGCAUGUGGUUUAAUUCGAAGCAACGCGAAGAACCUUACCAAGGCUUGACAUAUAGUUGAGUUAUUGAGAAAUUGAUAAGUCCCUCGGGACAACUAUACAGGUGGUGCAUGGUUGUCGUCAGCUCGUGUCGUGAGAUGUUGGGUUAAGUCCCGCAACGAGCGCAACCCUUAUCUUCAGUUACCAGCAUGUAAUGAUGGGGACUCUGGAGAGACUGCCGAUGACAAAUCGGAGGAAGGUGGGGAUGACGUCAAAUCAUCAUGCCCUUUAUGUCUUGGGCUACACACGUGCUACAAUGGUUGGUACAACGAGAAGCUAGACAGUGAUGUUAAGCAAAACUCUAAAAACCAAUCACAGUUCGGAUUGUAGGCUGCAACUCGCCUACAUGAAGUCGGAGUUGCUAGUAAUCGCGAAUCAGAAUGUCGCGGUGAAUGCGUUCCCGGGUCUUGUACACACCGCCCGUCACACCAUGGGAGUUGGCAAUACCCGAAGCC
Molecule: ribosomal RNA, 628 nt
Filed under: uncultured bacterium
Lineage: Bacteria
Description: bacterial SSU rRNA
Rfam family: Bacterial small subunit ribosomal RNA
Source: RNAcentral